AGAUGAGAUUUCCCAACUUCGGUUAUAAGAUCCCUCAAAGAUGAUGAGGUGAAUAGGUUCGAGGUGGAAGCGUAGUGAUACGUGGAGCUGACGAAUACUAAUCGAUCGAAGACUUAAUCAA
This 121-nucleotide ribosomal RNA is filed under the name Staphylococcus pseudintermedius. RNAcentral describes it as "partial 23S ribosomal RNA". It matches the Rfam family "Bacterial large subunit ribosomal RNA", at positions 2802 to 2925 of the family's 2925-position model. The record is from RNAcentral. Lineage: Bacteria; Bacillati; Bacillota; Bacilli; Caryophanales; Staphylococcaceae.